Molecule: non-coding RNA, 783 nt
Filed under: Mylabris aulica
Lineage: Eukaryota; Metazoa; Arthropoda; Insecta; Coleoptera; Meloidae
Source: RNAcentral
UACGUAGAUUUCAUUUUUUCAGUGUGACAAAAGUUUUAUUUUGGCUUAGGAUUUGGCUGUAAUAAUUAUGUAUAUGCAAUUCAUAGAGCAGGAAUUCUUAGAAAGAUUGGUUUGCAGUAUAUAAUAUUAAGUAUUAGGUGACCCUAGACUUAGAAAUUAUUAGGAGUACAAACUUAAUUUGUGCCAGCAGUUGCGGUUAUACAAAUUGUACUAGUCAAUUUUAUUUAAUAUAAUUAAAUGUGGAAUAUUUUAAUUGAUAGUUAAACUUAUAAGGUGAAAUUUUAAGUUUAAUUAAUUUAAUGAAGUGUUAUUGAAGUUAAUAAAUUUUUGUUAAAACUAGGAUUAGAUACCCUAUUAUUUUAAAUGUAAUAUUGUAGUUAAAAUUAUUAAUAGUUAUGGUCUUUAAAAUUAAAAAAUUUGGCGGUAUUUUAGUCUAUUCAGAGGAACCUGUUUUUUAAUUGAUAAUCCACGAUGAGCUUUACUUUAAAUUUUAACUUGUAUAUCGCCGUAGUUAGAAUAUUUUAGGAGAAGAAAAAUGUUCAGCUAAUCAAAUUAGAUUAGAAUCCAGGUCAAGGUGCAGUUUAUUUUAAAGUUAAAAUGGGUUACAUUGUAUAAAUAUUUGGUGCUAAGCUUGAAAAGCCUAGCUAAAUUGGAUUUGAAAGUAAUUUUAUAUAUUUAUUUAUAAUGAUUAUGCUCUAAAAUAUGCACAUAUCGCCCGUCGCUUUCAUUUAAGAUGGAAUAAGUCGUAACAAAGUAGGCCUAUUGGAAAAUGGGCCUAGAAUG